Molecule: non-coding RNA, 701 nt
Organism: Delphinapterus leucas (beluga whale)
Lineage: Eukaryota; Metazoa; Chordata; Mammalia; Artiodactyla; Monodontidae
Source: RefSeq, a predicted model, not a curated record
GUGCUUGAUGUAUUUAAAAGUAGUUUUAGUAGUAUAAUGCUUCUUGUAAAUAGCUUUUAAAAACUGAUGGGAAAUACUGUUUUUGGAAAAUGGAAUUGUUAAACCUCCUCUCUGAACAGUAUACUCUGUGCUUGUUCAUUUGGUUUAGGGAGGUGGGAGGGAAGAUUGCAAAAGAUGUUUUGCUAGCAGGUACUAGAACAUUUCAACUUAUCCAUUGCUCUAUAUGUUACAUGCAUUUUGUUUAACUUUACUGUAUAUAUUUUGUAUAUACUGGACCAAUGGGUCCCAAUUUUAUAAUAUCUAGUCUCUAGACAUUAAAGAGGUUGCCAAUGUAUGACAAAAAUAGAGUUAGUAAACUAACACAUUUAGGACACUUUGUGUUAAAAUUCAUUGAAAGGCCGUCUUCUGAAAAGGGCCUUUGGAAGUGAAAUUGUAAAUCACAUCUAAGUGACACCUGUGCCUGUACUUGCCCAGUGUUGGAUGGAUGGCAGAAAGGAGGUACUGGGAGAAAUGAAGUGUUCUAGAUUAGAAUGUUCCUAUGUAGAACACAUUUUCAGAUCUAACCAUUGUUACAUGUGUGUAGUUUAUUCAACACUACUGUGUAUAUAGUGGACAAACUUAAGCCAUUAUUUGAAACAUCUAGUGUUUCUAGAUGUUUAGAAGUGCACAAAGUAUGUUAAAAGUAGAGGCAGAAAGGAGAG